RNAcentral lists this ribosomal RNA (924 nucleotides) under Parasola plicatilis. RNAcentral's name for it is "partial large subunit ribosomal RNA". It matches the Rfam family "Eukaryotic large subunit ribosomal RNA", at positions 53 to 968 of the family's 3401-position model. Lineage: Eukaryota; Fungi; Basidiomycota; Agaricomycetes; Agaricales; Psathyrellaceae. The record is from RNAcentral.
AACGGAUAGACUAACAGGAUCCCCUAGUAACUGCGAGUGAAGAGGGAAAAGCUCAAAUUUAAAAUCUGGCAGCCUUUGGUUGUCCGAGUUGUAAUCUAGAGAAGUGUUACCCGCGCUGGACCGUGUAUAAGUCUCCUGGAAUGGAGCGUCAUAGAGGGUGAGAAUCCCGUCUUCGACAUGGAUCCCCAGGGCAUUGUGGUACGCUCUCAAAGAGUCGAGUUGUUUGGGAAUGCAGCUCAAAAUGGGUGGUAAAUUCCAUCUAAAGCUAAAUAUUGGCGAGAGACCGAUAGCGAACAAGUACCGUGAGGGAAAGAUGAAAAGAACUUUGGAAAGAGAGUUAAACAGUACGUGAAAUUGCUGAAAGGGAAACGCUUGAAGUCAGUCGCGUCGUCUGGAAAUCAACCUUGCUUCUGCUUGGUGUACUUUCCAGUUGACGGGCCAGCAUCAGUUUUGACCGGUGGAAAAAUUCCAAGGGAAUGUGGCACCUUCGGGUGUGUUAUAGCCCUUGGUUGCAUGCAUCGGUUGGGACUGAGGAACUCAGCAUGCCGCAAGGCCGGUCUUCGGACACGUUCGUGCUUAGGAUGCUGGCAUAAUGGCUUUAAUCGACCCGUCUUGAAACACGGACCAAGGAGUCUAACAUGCUUGCGAGUGUUUGGGUGGAAAACCCGAGCGCGUAAUGAAAGUGAAAGUCGAGAUCCCUGUCGCGGGGAGCAUCGACGCCCGGACCAGACGUUCUCUGACGGAUCCGCGGUAGAGCACGUAUGUUGGGACCCGAAAGAUGGUGAACUAUGCCUGAAUAGGGUGAAGCCAGAGGAAACUCUGGUGGAGGCUCGUAGCGAUUCUGACGUGCAAAUCGAUCGUCAAAUUUGGGUAUAGGGGCGAAAGACUAAUCGAACCAUCUAGUAGCUGGUUCCUGCCGAGAUC